GAGUUUGAUCUUGGCUCAGAUUGAACGCUGGCGGCAGGCCUAACACAUGCAAGUCGAGCGGUAGAGAGAAGCUUGCUUCUCUUGAGAGCGGCGGACGGGUGAGUAAUGCCUAGGAAUCUGCCUGGUAGUGGGGGAUAACGCUCGGAAACGGACGCUAAUACCGCAUACGUCCUACGGGAGAAAGCAGGGGACCUUCGGGCCUUGCGCUAUCAGAUGAGCCUAGGUCGGAUUAGCUAGUUGGUGAGGUAAUGGCUCACCAAGGCGACGAUCCGUAACUGGUCUGAGAGGAUGAUCAGUCACACUGGAACUGAGACACGGUCCAGACUCCUACGGGAGGCAGCAGUGGGGAAUAUUGGACAAUGGGCGAAAGCCUGAUCCAGCCAUGCCGCGUGUGUGAAGAAGGUCUUCGGAUUGUAAAGCACGUUUAAAGUUGGGAGAAGGGCAGUAAAUUAAUACUUUGCUGUUUUGACGUUACCGACAGAAUAAGCACCGGCUAACUCUGUGCCAGCACG
This 512-nucleotide ribosomal RNA is filed under the name uncultured bacterium. RNAcentral's name for it is "bacterial SSU rRNA". It matches the Rfam family "Bacterial small subunit ribosomal RNA", at positions 9 to 515 of the family's 1533-position model. The record is from RNAcentral.